GAAGUUGGCCGGACAGUCGCCGCCCGCGCAAGCGGGGGGAGGAAAGUCCGGGCUUCAUAGGGCAGGAUGCUGGCUAACGGCCAGGCGCCGCGAGGCGACGGAAAGUGGAACAGAGAGCUGAACCGCCGAUGGCUGGACUUGGCGGCCCGCAAGGGACGCAAAGUCUUUAUCAAAUGGGGUAACCCGUUUGGUGCAUCAAAUGGGGCAACCCAUUUGACAGCACAGGUAAGGGUGAAAAGGUGGCUGCGCAAGCAGCCGUUUGGUGCAAACCAAACGCGGUAAGAGCGCACCGCUUGGCUGGUGACAGUCCAAGGCAGGCUAAACCCCAUCCGAAGCAAGACCAAAUAGGCAAGCGUUGACGGGGCCCCCUGAGCUUGCGGGUAGGUUGCUUGAGGCGGCCAGUAAUGGCCGUCCUAGAGGAAUGACUGUCGGUGGCGGGUAACCGCCAUGUCACAGGACCCGGCUUAUAGGCCGACUUCGCCU
This is a non-coding RNA of Chitinimonas taiwanensis DSM 18899, 483 nucleotides long. It matches the Rfam family "Bacterial RNase P class A". From Rfam's summary of the family: Ribonuclease P (RNase P) is a ubiquitous endoribonuclease, found in archaea, bacteria and eukarya as well as chloroplasts and mitochondria. Its best characterised activity is the generation of mature 5'-ends of tRNAs by cleaving the 5'-leader elements of precursor-tRNAs. The record is from Rfam. Lineage: Bacteria; Pseudomonadati; Pseudomonadota; Betaproteobacteria; Neisseriales; Chitinibacteraceae.